Cupriavidus sp. SK-3 is the source of this 117-nucleotide non-coding RNA. The record is from Rfam. NCBI's taxonomy places the organism in Bacteria, Pseudomonadati, Pseudomonadota, Betaproteobacteria, Burkholderiales, Burkholderiaceae.
GAGGGUAUGGCCCCUCGCCAUCGGCUUGCAGGAGCGGGUGGCAAACCACCAUGAGCGGCUUGGGUCAAAAGCCCUGGUCGUGAGCGUCAUGGAAAAGGCGUCGUGAAGGCGUCAGGU